CCUUUUUCUUAUUUAAAGAGACAAUAUUUUGAAUUCAUUUCUAAGAAUUCAACCCGUUAUAAAACUCUCGUGGGAGAAUUUUACCACCUAUUAUGACCGGUCCUACUUAAUUUAAGAAUUUAGUCUUUAUAAUUGCGCGCACAAAUUAACCUCUUCACCCAAAGUUGCGUUGAUGGUAGCAUUGUUGAAUGAACAAAAAUGAUCAUUUUUUGUCUUUAUUACAUUAAUUAUAUAGAUAAUAAAUGUUUAAGAUGACUAAACUAAACAUAAUUAAAGCCAACCACUUUGGCAAAUAAAAAAUAAAAAUAAACAUAAAGCCAACCAUUGUAUAUAAUUUUCUAUAAUUUUGAAGUAUGCAUAUCCUAAACCCUAUACCUAAGUUGUCUUCUAAUAAAGGAGGAUCUCGGAGGACCACAUUUACAUGUACGACAAAUGCAUUUUGGAACAUACGGAGGUAGACAAUAAUAGUAUUGACAAUUAGCAUCCUCUUUGCAGUUUUUCCACUCUGUGAUACAAAAAUAAGAAACAAAAAUUACUACAAGAGAUGAAAUAUUUUGUAUAAGAUAAACAAGAAAAUUCAAAGGAUACAAAAAAUAAUUUACCAUUAUUAUCAUUUACAACAAGAAACAAAGAAAUAAAGAAGAUCAUUAAAUAAACAAAAUUAAUAAUUUCAGCCAUAUUUUUCUCCAAAGCUUGCAACAAAUAGCAA
This 709-nucleotide long non-coding RNA is filed under the name Trifolium pratense (red clover). Its description in RNAcentral is "long non-coding RNA (TPRA_LNC002368)". Lineage: Eukaryota; Viridiplantae; Streptophyta; Magnoliopsida; Fabales; Fabaceae. The record is from RNAcentral.